Long non-coding RNA from Amaranthus tricolor (Joseph's coat), 698 nucleotides. RefSeq lists it as uncharacterized. NCBI's taxonomy places the organism in Eukaryota, Viridiplantae, Streptophyta, Magnoliopsida, Caryophyllales, Amaranthaceae. The record is from RefSeq and is a predicted model, not a curated record. The transcript has 3 exons.
UCCCUGUUAAAGUGCCCAUUUACUAGCCACGUGUGAAUUGUUUGUUUUGGUAGUAAACCUCAUUUGAGAAGAAUAUAACUGCUAUUACUAUCAAUUUGUUUUAGUAUUAAACUAUUACUACUAAUUUGUUUUAGUAGUAAACCUCAUUAUUACCAGAAAGAGAAGAAUAUACAUCACUUUAUAAACUUGAGAAAUAACUGCUAUUACUACCAAGAUGUUUUAGUAGUAAACCUCAUUUGAGUUUGUACCUGAUUUUUUUUUCCUCCUUAUUUAGAUUGCUCAAAUUCAUUUUUUAAAAUUCCAAUAUGGUAUUAGACCUAGUUUAUUAUUGGGUCUUAUGACUGGGCAUUUAAAUUUUACCAUUAGUUAAGGGACCUCAAAAUUUUAAGUUCGAUUCUCACUUUCCCUUAGCCCCAAUAAUCAAUAAAUAAAUAAUAUUAUUCUUUACAUCAAUAGUUUCUGAUAAUUUUAAGAAGUGAAUUUAGUUUUUUCAUAUAUAAUUUACAAAAACUAAAAAAUAAUAUUAAUUCCACAGACAGACACUGCUUCAGUUCUUCAAGAGGCUUGUAUCUACAUCAAAAUAAUUCAUCAAGAAAUUCGGAGGCUAAGCAUAUCAUACUUGGAGGUUAGGACACUUCAAUCACGGCUGCAGGGUGACAUAGAGAGGCAAAUUGACUUACAAAGUAGAGGAUUAUGCU